RNAcentral lists this non-coding RNA (98 nucleotides) under Macaca fascicularis (crab-eating macaque). Its description in RNAcentral is "Mitochondrial DNA control region secondary structure A". It matches the Rfam family "Mitochondrial DNA control region secondary structure A". The record is from Rfam by way of RNAcentral. RNAcentral also lists the same sequence under 1 other name. Lineage: Eukaryota; Metazoa; Chordata; Mammalia; Primates; Cercopithecidae.
AUGUUGCAUGAACUUCAUAGUAUAAUUCUAGUACCAACUUACUUAUAAUACUACUAUGUAAUUCGUGCAUUACUGCUAGCCAACAUGUAUAAUAUAUA